Long non-coding RNA from Xiphias gladius (swordfish), 420 nucleotides. RefSeq lists it as uncharacterized. The record is from RefSeq and is a predicted model, not a curated record. Lineage: Eukaryota; Metazoa; Chordata; Actinopteri; Istiophoriformes; Xiphiidae. The transcript has 3 exons.
AUCUGAUUUGGAGCAAUUCUUUUGGGCAGUUACGGUGGCGCUUGGUGGCAAAUGGACCACACCUUGUUUCCUUUCCGGUUUGGAGCAAUGUUUGUGGCAUUUGGCAUCAUAUCCAUUUUGUCUGAGAAGUACCCCAGUCCAUGUCUGAUGCUCCUAAGACGCCUCAAUGCUGUGCUGAUUGUCCUUUCAGCCCCUGGAGCUCUGCGUCACCACCAGCUCUGCCAUCUUGGGGAUCAAGGCUCUGUGGAGCAUUGAGGGAAGGCAGCAGGGAGAAAACAAGGUAGAGUAUGCAAAAUCAUAUCUUAUUGUUAAACCUGUGUUUACCCAGGAAAGGAUAACUGAACAUGAAUACAUUUAUUCUUUUUUCUUUUUAUCCCACGUUUGAGGACUAAUGAGCGAACAGGGCUAAAAGCUCAUGAA